RNAcentral lists this transfer RNA (74 nucleotides) under Candidatus Hermodarchaeota archaeon. RNAcentral describes it as "tRNA-Gly". It matches the Rfam family "tRNA". Rfam says of the family: Transfer RNA (tRNA) molecules are approximately 80 nucleotides in length. Their secondary structure includes four short double-helical elements and three loops (D, anti-codon, and T loops). Lineage: Archaea; Promethearchaeati; Candidatus Hermodarchaeota. The record is from RNAcentral.
GCGCUGUUGGUCUAGUGGCAUGACUCCAGCCUGCCACGCUGGGUACCCGGGUUCAAAUCCCGGACAGCGCACCA